RNAcentral lists this long non-coding RNA (1271 nucleotides) under Linum usitatissimum (flax). Its description in RNAcentral is "long non-coding RNA (LUSI_LNC006864)". The record is from RNAcentral. Lineage: Eukaryota; Viridiplantae; Streptophyta; Magnoliopsida; Malpighiales; Linaceae.
UACUCCUUAUAUAAUCCAAUAAAAUUCUAUCUUCCUCAUAAAAAAGCCCUAUCUCCCCACCGCCAAUCUCUGUUUUCUUAAACUUCUUCUCUAUCUUCUCUGUUGCCGUCGUUUUCCGAGUCUUCUCAAACUCCGUCUAGCUUUCUUCUCCGUCACCAUCCAUUCUCCUCCUUACCCCCUUGUGCUUCAUCUCUCAGCCAUGGAUUGGAGUGAAGCGAGUUUUAAAUCGUCAUCAAGAAAUAAACAGGUCGGGUAGAAGUGUUGGCACAAAUGCCAAGCCAUCUUGAAAGUUGCAGCAACAGGUAAAAACAUGGGUCGACCAUUCUAUUGUUGUCCUUACUGGCAAGAUAAGGUAACUGAUUGUGGAUUCUUCAAGUGGGCAACUGGGAAAGCAAAAGAAGACGAAGGUUCAGUGCUAGGCGAGUUAAGAAAUCAGAAUGAAGAGCUGAUGUGUUCUCUCCGUGAUGCAAUCGAAGUUUCAUACACGAACUUUUUUUUUUUGGCUUGUACGGUUUCUUUUAGGAAUAAAAUUAAUUCUUCUAUAAGGAUAUUUAAGAGAGAGAACAGAAAAACGUGGGAUGAAAAUUUUGUAGGAGUUAAUUCAUGAAGAAAAAUAUAAAAAAAUUAUUUUAUUGGUAGAAUUCCUAAAUUUAAGGAGAGCAAAGAAAAGAAAAGAAAUGGCUGAUGCGGCAAAAUUUUAAAAUUGAAAAUACUUAAUAAAUAUUUAGUGUUGAUGUUGAUGGAGCGAAGAUGAAGCUAGUGGCGGCUGCCUACCUCUCUGGACGUAUGGGUGAACCGAGUUGUGUAGUAGAGUGGGUUGUUGCAUAUGUGAGUUCUGGUUGCGUACUAGUUGGCCAGCAUGAGGCAGUUGAAUUUUGAGAUGCUUCGUUUGGCUUUGACCAUAGCUUGGUGGUUAUUAUAGCAGAGUUGAGAUUUACCUUAUGAAACAAACGACAACCCUCAACACAAGACAGACUUAUCAAACAAAGAGAGAGAAGAAGGUAACAGCCCAAAUCUAAAGAUACAGAUGAAGAAGCUCUGAGGAUAUCAGAAGAUUUAUCAAAAAUAGAACCAGUCAAAAUGGGUAGGACGUUAAGACACUUCUUUGCUUCUCUUCUCCACUAAUCUAAUACAGUUCUGUUUGCAGGAUCUUCGACGUCUGACAUUAUAAAAUGUAAUGCAGACUGCAGAGUCUGCUCCCAUUCAAAUUCGUUUCACCUCACCUGGCUCCUGGAUUUUGAUUGAUGUUUUUGCCAAGCUUGCUUCCAGUU